UACGUAGGGGCCUAGCGUUGUCCGGAAUUAUUGGGCGUAAAGAGCUCGUAGGCGGCUUGUCACGUCGGGUGUGAAAGCCCGGGGCUUAACCCCGGGUCUGCAUUCGAUACGGGCUAGCUAGAGUGUGGUAGGGGAGAUCGGAAUUCCUGGUGUAGCGGUGAAAUGCGCAGAUAUCAGGAGGAACACCGGUGGCGAAGGCGGAUCUCUGGGCCAUUACUGACGCUGAGGAGCGAAAGCGUGGGGAGCGAACAGG
This 253-nucleotide ribosomal RNA is filed under the name uncultured bacterium. RNAcentral describes it as "partial 16S ribosomal RNA". It matches the Rfam family "Bacterial small subunit ribosomal RNA", at positions 524 to 776 of the family's 1533-position model. The record is from RNAcentral.